GAUGAACGCUGGCGGCGUGCCUAACACAUGCAAGUCGAACGGAGUUACGAGAGCUUGCUUUUGUAACUUAGUGGCGAACGGGUGAGUAAAUGCGUGAGCAACCUGCCCUUCAGAGGGGGACAACAGUUGGAAACGGCUGCUAAUACCGCAUGAUGUAUUUAGGAGGCAUCUCCUGAAUACCAAAGGAGAAAUCCGCUGAAGGAUGGGCUCACGUCUGAUUAGCUAGUUGGUGAGGUAACGGCUCACCAAGGCUGCGAUCAGUAGCCGGACUGAGAGGUUGAACGGCCACAUUGGGACUGAGAUACGGCCCAGACUCCUACGGGAGGCAGCAGUGGGGAAUAUUGGGCAAUGGGCGAAAAGCCUGAUGCAGCAACGCCGCGUGAGGGAAGACGGUUUUCGGAUUGUAAACCUCUGUUCUAAGUGACGAAGAAUGACGGUAGCUUAGGAGGAAGCCCCGGCUAAACUAACGUGCCAGCAGCCGCAGU
Molecule: ribosomal RNA, 485 nt
Filed under: uncultured bacterium
Lineage: Bacteria
Description: bacterial SSU rRNA
Rfam family: Bacterial small subunit ribosomal RNA
Source: RNAcentral